UCCAAAUCUCCACCAGCCCUA
RNAcentral lists this non-coding RNA (21 nucleotides) under Caenorhabditis elegans. The record is from RNAcentral. Lineage: Eukaryota; Metazoa; Nematoda; Chromadorea; Rhabditida; Rhabditidae.